UACGUCCACAUCGCGUUGAAACACCGGUUCCCGUACGAUCACCGAAGUUAAGCAACGUCGAGCCAAGUCAGUGCCUAGAUGGGUGGCCGCUUAGAAGUAUCAAGUGCUGUAAG
Acanthosepion pharaonis is the source of this 113-nucleotide non-coding RNA. The record is from the annotation of a GenBank genome assembly. NCBI's taxonomy places the organism in Eukaryota, Metazoa, Mollusca, Cephalopoda, Sepiida, Sepiidae.